AUGACAACAAGAAUGGAUGCAAAGGUCUACAGAGACGAAGAUAACAGUUGGGUUGCGCCAUUGCCUUUCAGAGAACCCAGACAGCGUUUGCCAAAUAACAAAGAGCAAGCAAUUAGUCGAUUCACUUCCCUGAAACGAACAAUGAAAAGGAAACCAGAGAUGCAGCAACAGUAUGUGGAGUUCAUGGGAAGGAUAUUUGCCAAUGGACAUGCUGAGGUGGCACCUCAACUGAAAGAAAAUGAGGAAUGCUGGUAUCUCCCAACAUUUGGAGUUUAUCACCCACAGAAACCCAACCAGAUCAGAGUGGUUUUUGAUUCUAGUGCACAGUGGUCUGGCACCUCACUCAACGAUGUGCUUCUUAAAGGUCCUGAUCUAAAUAACAGUCUCCUAGGUGUUCUGUUACGGUUCAGGAAAGAGAAGGUUGCAGUUCUUGCUGACAUCCAGCAAAUGUUUCACUGUUUCCUAGUACAUGAAGACCACAGAAACUUCUUACGAUUUCUUUGGCACAAGGAUAAUGACAUCAACAAGGAGGUUGUCGAGUACAGAAUGAGAGUCCACGUCUUCGGUAACAGUCCGUCGCCUGCAGUUGCUGUCUAUGGGCUAAGAAGAGCCAUAAGGGAAGGUGCACAAAGGUAUGGCGAGGACACUGUUAAGUUUGUGGAAAGACACUUUUAUGUCGAUGAUGGCCUAAUAUCAGUGUCAACUGAAGCUGAAGCAAUUGAUCUUCUGAAACGAACACAGGCUUCACUCGCAGAGUCUAACCUGCGUUUGCACAAGCUCGUUUCAAACUGUCAGGCAGUCACAGAGGCCUUCUCACCAGAAGACUGUGCAGUGGUGAAGAACUUGGAUUUGAGUGGAAAAGACACACCCACACAGCGAAGUUUAGGUCUUCUGUGGGAAAUCAGAACGGACACAUUCACCUUCUCAGUGCCACCAAAUAACAAGCUAUUCACUCGUCGAGGUGUUCUGUCUACUGUGAGUAGCAUUUUCGAUCCUCUGGGCCUGAUUGCUCCGGUCACAAUCCAGGGAAGAGCAAUUCUAAGAGAACUUACCUCCGAGCAGUCUGACUGGGACACACCCCUGCCUGCAGAUAGGCUAAACCAAUGGGAGGCGUGGAGAAAUUCACUUCAAGAUCUAAAGCAGCUUCAUGUCCCACGUAUUUAUACUGCGGCUUCACCCAGUGAAACAACAUACAAAGAACUGUGUGUGUUCUCAGAUGCUUCAGUCAAAGCUAUAGGUGCAGUAGCAUAUUUAAGAACAGUUCAAGAACACGGCCAUGUCGAGGUGGGAUUCAUCAUGGGUAAGGCGAAGCUGGCACCACAAUCUGUCCCAACAGUCCCAAGACUUGAGCUCUGUGCAGCCGUCUUAGCAGUUGAAAUGGCUGAUCUCAUACAAGACGAGCUGGAUCUGGAACUGGAUGCUGUCAAGUUUUACACAGACAGCAAAGUGGUUCUUGGUUACAUCUGUAACGAAUCAAAACGAUUCUAUUUGUACGUCCAUAAUAGAGUCCAGCGAAUUCGCAUGUCAUCAAGGCCAGAACAAUGGAAUUACGUCCAUACAGAGAAGAACCCUGCUGACCAUGCUUCAAGAUCCGUGCCUGCAUCUCAUCUUGCUCAGACCUCAUGGUUUACAGGACCUGACUUCCUCCGUAAGACACCUGUGGAAGAAACACAACCCAGUCCAUCAUUUGAGUUAAUCGAACCAGAAACGGAUGUGGAAAUUCGACCAGAAGUAAGGACCUGUGCUACCUUUCUGGACAGCAAAGUGCUAACAUCUGAACGCUUUCAGCGAUUCUCUACCUUUACCUCAUUGGUAAGAAGCAUAGCAUCACUUAUCCACAUUGCCAAAUCAUACAAUCACUCAGUUCAAAACAGCAAAUGCAAGGGAUGGCACAUAUGUAACUUACCGCAUACUCAAGAGGAACGUGACCAAGCCAAGGACGUUAUCUUCAAAGCAACGCAAAUUUCAGCUUUUGCCAAGGAACGUGCAGCCUUGCACACCAACAAAAUGAUACCUACCAACAGCUGUUUAAGGACACUCAAUCCAAUCCUGGAUAAUGGUCUUCUUGUUUUAGGAGGACGCCUUAAAUAUUCAGGCCUCACAUCUGUGGAAAAGAACCCAAUAAUCCUGCCGAAGCGCAACCACAUCUCUGUGCUGCUCACACGUUAUUACCAUGAGCAAGUGAAACACCAAGGUCGCCAUCUGACAGAAGGUGCCAUCAGGGCCGCUGGUUUGUGGAUUUUGGGAGGCAAAGCUCUGGUCAAUUCAGUGCUUCAUAAAUGUGUGAUCUGCCGCAAACUGCGAGGAAAACAGGAAGAGCAACAUAUGUCAGAUCUGCCACCUGAACGACUCCAAGUCUGCCCUCCAUUUACAUAUGUAGGACUAGACGUUUUUGGGCCAUGGUCUGUCAACAUCAGACGUACUAGAGGAGGACAAGCGGGAAGCAAAAGAUGGGCUAUCAUGUUCAGUUGCAUGAGUUCACGAGCAGUCCACAUCGAGGUCAUCGAGUCUAUGGACACGUCCAGCUGCAUCAACGCCCUCAGGCGUUUCUUCGCACUCAGAGGCCCUGCAAAGCAGUUACGAUCUGACUGUGGCACUAACUUCAUCGGUGCAAGCAAAGAACUGGGCAUGGACAAAAGGAUGCAUAGUUACCUGAGUGAACAGGGUUGCACAUGGGUAUUCAACCCACCCCAUGCCUCUCAUAUGGGAGGUUCCUGGGAACGAAUGAUAGGCAUCGCUAGAAGAAUCCUCGACUCAAUGUUUUUACAGCAGAACAUUCGACUAACACAUGAGGUACUGUGCACACUGAUGGCAGAGGUUACAGCCAUUAUGAAUGGACGGCCGCUUACACCUGUGUCUUCAGAUCCAGAAAACCCCUUCAUUCUUUCUCCGUCGAUGCUCCUCACACAGAAAGUAGGAGUUCCGCCUCCAUUAGGGGAGUUUUCAGACAAAGAUCUACACACAAAGCAGUGGAGACAGGUUCAGACCCUAGCAGAUCAGUUCUGGACUCGUUGGAAAAAGGAAUAA
Betta splendens (Siamese fighting fish) is the source of this 3027-nucleotide long non-coding RNA. Ensembl lists it as uncharacterized. Lineage: Eukaryota; Metazoa; Chordata; Actinopteri; Anabantiformes; Osphronemidae. The record is from Ensembl.